RNAcentral lists this ribosomal RNA (431 nucleotides) under uncultured organism. Its description in RNAcentral is "bacterial SSU rRNA". It matches the Rfam family "Bacterial small subunit ribosomal RNA", at positions 29 to 507 of the family's 1533-position model. The record is from RNAcentral.
AACGAACGCUGGCGGCAGGCUUAACACAUGCAAGUCGAGCGCACCGCAAGGUGAGCGGCAGACGGGUGAGUAACGCGUGGGAAUCUACCCAGUUCUGCGGAAUAACACAGGGAAACUUGUGCUAAUACCGCAUACGCCCUCCGGGGGAAAGAUUUAUCGGAAUUGGAUGAGCCCGCGUUAGAUUAGCUAGUUGGUGGGGUAAAGGCCUACCAAGGCGACGAUCUAUAGCUGGUCUGAGAGGAUGAUCAGCCACACUGGGACUGAGACACGGCCCAGACUCCUACGGGAGGCAGCAGUGGGGAAUAUUGGACAAUGGGCGAAAGCCUGAUCCAGCCAUGCCGCGUGAGUGAUGAAGGCCUUAGGGUUGUAAAGCUCUUUCAGUGGGGAUGAUAAUGACAGUACCCACAGAAGAAGCCCCGGCUAACUUCGUG